AGUGAACGCUGGCGGUAGGCCUAACACAUGCAAGUCGAACGGCAGCACAGUAAGAGCUUGCUCUUACGGGUGGCGAGUGGCGGACGGGUGAGGAAUACAUCGGAAUCUACUUUUUCGUGGGGGAUAACGUAGGGAAACUUACGCUAAUACCGCAUACGACCUACGGGUGAAAGCAGGGGAUCUUCGGACCUUGCGCGAUUGAAUGAGCCGAUGUCGGAUUAGCGAGUUGGCGGGGUAAAGGCCCACCAAGGCGACGAUCCGUAGCUGGUCUGGGAGGAUGAUCAGCCACACUGGAACUGAGACACGGUCCAGACUCCUACGGGAGGCAGCAGUGGGGAAUAUUGGACAAUGGGCGCAAGCCUGAUCCAGCCAUACCGCGUGGGUGAAGAAGGCCUUCGGGUUGUAAAGCCCUUUUGUUGGGAAAGAAAAGCAGCAGGUUAAUACCCCGCUGUUCUGACGGUACCCAAAGAAUAAGCACCGGCUAACUUCGUG
RNAcentral lists this ribosomal RNA (492 nucleotides) under uncultured bacterium. Its description in RNAcentral is "partial 16S ribosomal RNA". It matches the Rfam family "Bacterial small subunit ribosomal RNA", at positions 29 to 507 of the family's 1533-position model. The record is from RNAcentral.